AGCAGCAAUUGGAAUGUCUUUAUCAAAUGUAAAACGAAUAAAAGCUGAAAAAAGAAAGAACAUCGAUAAAGAAAGCCCUUUUAUCUCGCCCAUAAAAACCAAGCAAAUUUUAAAUUCUAAAAUUGUAUUUGACGAUUUCGAUAAAGAACUGCUUCGAAGGAUUGUGCACAAUUAUUAUAGUGACCAGAAAGAAGUUCCAACUGUGACCAAGUUGGUUAGUGAAAUGAAAAUGACUGCAGGAUUUGACAGCAAAAAGAGAAUUUAUAAGAAAGCGACUCCACGAAAUUGAUUUUCGAUUUCAAAAAUGCAAAUCUAACAGAUGCAUUCUAAUAGAGAAACCGGAAAUUGUUGCAGCACAACGCCG
Molecule: long non-coding RNA, 364 nt
Filed under: Androctonus crassicauda
Lineage: Eukaryota; Metazoa; Arthropoda; Arachnida; Scorpiones; Buthidae
Source: RNAcentral